This 28-nucleotide small RNA is filed under the name Bombyx mori (domestic silkworm). RNAcentral describes it as "ovarian small RNA-14709". The record is from RNAcentral. Lineage: Eukaryota; Metazoa; Arthropoda; Insecta; Lepidoptera; Bombycidae.
CUCUUUGCUAUCUGAGAUUUAUUGCCUA